RNAcentral lists this ribosomal RNA (390 nucleotides) under uncultured soil bacterium. Its description in RNAcentral is "bacterial SSU rRNA". It matches the Rfam family "Bacterial small subunit ribosomal RNA", at positions 26 to 429 of the family's 1533-position model. The record is from RNAcentral.
AGAUUGAACGCUGGCGGCAUGCCUAACACAUGCAAGUCGAACGGGAGUAGCAAUACUCUAGUGGCGGACGGGUGAGGAAUACGUAGGAAUUUGCCCUUAAGUGGGGGAUAACCCGGGGAAACCCGGAUUAAUACCGCAUGACCUCGAAAGAGCAAAGUGGGGGAUCGCAAGACCUCACGCUUUUGGAGAAGCCUACGUCGGAUUAGCUAGUUGGUGAGGUAAUGGCUCACCAAGGCGACGAUCCGUAACUGGUCUGAGAGGAUGAUCAGUCACACCGGAACUGAGACACGGUCCGGACUCCUACGGGAGCAGCAGUGGGGAAUAUUGGACAAUGGGCGCAAGCCUGAUCCAGCAAUGCCGCGUGUGUGAAGAAGGCCUUCGGGUUGUAAG